CUUUUCGAUGUAACAGUCAUCUCCCCCUCCUCCUCUUUCACUCUGAAAGCAUCUUCCUCUUCUUUUACUGUAACAUCCGCCUCCUCUUUCACUCUGAACGCGUCUUCCUCUUCUUUCACUGAAACGUCUUUCUCUUCUUCUUUCAUGGUAACAGCCUCAACCUCUACUUCUUUUUUUACUGUAACAUCCUCCUCCUCCUUUUUCACUCUGAACGAGUCUUCCUCUUCUAUCACUGAAACGUCUUUCUCUUCUUCUUUCACGAUAACAGCCUCACCCUCUACUGCAACAGCCUCCUCUUCUUUAGCAGAAGGAGAGUAUCUUAGUGACCGCAUGGUUAGGCUAAUGCUAACUUAACCAGCCCGCUAGCUGACUAAUAACAACACCCUAAAUAUUAAAAUAAAUCUGAUAACUAACUAGACGACAGAAAUGGGUUGAAAACACGGUGGUUAAUAAACACAAACGCGUCUAAAGAGCUUUAUUGGUUUGGCUAUUUUGUCUAGCAAGCUACGGAGGUGUCUAACUGUUGCUGAUGUUGAUGUUGAAAGAAGCGUUCCGUCCACUAGAAAAUUCGUCACACUAGCAGCAUUGCCUUAAAGUCGCACACCGCCCUCUGUUGACUGGAGUGGGUAACGCAGACAGGACAUGGACACAAUGCAAUUGGGAUCAAGAAGAUUUCAACGCUCUUCACUGCACAUCGGCGGAAGCCCAUUUCACCAUGAGAAUGAAAUCCCGCUGGCC
Molecule: long non-coding RNA, 738 nt
Organism: Oncorhynchus gorbuscha (pink salmon)
Lineage: Eukaryota; Metazoa; Chordata; Actinopteri; Salmoniformes; Salmonidae
Exons: 3
Source: RefSeq, a predicted model, not a curated record